This 1404-nucleotide ribosomal RNA is filed under the name uncultured bacterium. RNAcentral's name for it is "bacterial SSU rRNA". It matches the Rfam family "Bacterial small subunit ribosomal RNA". The record is from RNAcentral.
AGAGUUUGAUCCUGGCUCAGGAUGAACGCUAGCGGCAGGCUUAACACAUGCAAGUCGAGGGGCAGCGGGGAGGAAGCUUGCUUUCUCCGCCGGCGACCGGCGCACGGGUGAGUAACACGUAUGCAACCUGCCCCUGUCAGGGGGACAACCCGCCGAAAGGCGGGCUAAACCCGCGUACAUGCCACCGGGGCAUCCCGGAGGCAGGAAAGGCUUCGGCCGGACAGGGAUGGGCAUGCGGCGCAUUAGGCAGUAGGCGGGGUAACGGCCCACCUAACCGACGAUGCGUAGGGGUUCUGAGAGGAAGGUCCCCCACACUGGUACUGAGACACGGACCAGACUCCUACGGGAGGCAGCAGUGAGGAAUAUUGGUCAAUGGUCGGGAGACUGAACCAGCCAAGCCGCGUGAGGGAGGAAGGUACAGAGUAUCGUAAACCUCUUUUGUCAGGGAACAAAGACUGGGACGCGUCCCCGGAUGAGUGUACCUGAAGAAAAAGCAUCGGCUAACUCCGUGCCAGCAGCCGCGGUAAUACGGAGGAUGCGAGCGUUAUCCGGAUUUAUUGGGUUUAAAGGGUGCGCAGGCGGUCUGUUAAGUCAGCGGUCAAAGCCCGGGGCUCAACCCCGGCCCGCCGUUGAAACUGGCAGUCUCGAGUUGGAGAGAAGUAUGCGGAAUGCGCGGUGUAGCGGUGAAAUGCAUAGAUAUCGCGCAGAACUCCGAUUGCGAAGGCAGCAUGCCGGCUCCACACUGACGCUGAGGCACGAAAGCGUGGGUAUCGAACAGGAUUAGAUACCCUGGUAGUCCACGCAGUAAACGAUGAAUGCUGGCUGUCCGGGGGGACUGACCCCUGGGUGGCGAAGCGAAAGCGAUAAGCAUUCCACCUGGGGAGUACGCCGGCAACGGUGAAACUCAAAGGAAUUGACGGGGGCCCGCACAAGCGGAGGAACAUGUGGUUUAAUUCGAUGAUACGCGAGGAACCUUACCCGGGCUCAAACGGGGAGUGGCGCAGGCAGAGACGCCUGUUUCCCACGGGACACUCCCCGAGGUGCUGCAUGGUUGUCGUCAGCUCGUGCCGUGAGGUGUCGGCUUAAGUGCCAUAACGAGCGCAACCCCCGCGUGCAGUUGCUAACAGUCAACGCUGAGGACUCUGCACGGACUGCCGGCGCAAGCCGCGAGGAAGGCGGGGAUGACGUCAAAUCAGCACGGCCCUUACGUCCGGGGCGACACACGUGUUACAAUGGGUGGUACAGCGGGAAGCCAGGCGGCGACGCCGAGCGGAACCCGAAAUCCACUCUCAGUUCGGAUCGGAGUCUGCAACCCGACUCCGUGAAGCUGGAUUCGCUAGUAAUCGCGCAUCAGCCAUGGCGCGGUGAAUACGUUCCCGGGCCUUGCACUCACCGCCCGUCAAG